GUGGCUAUAGUUUAAUAAAAACUUUAGAUUGUGAUUCUAACAACAAGGGUUAAAACCCCUUUAUCCACC
The sequence is a transfer RNA, 69 nucleotides long. It matches the Rfam family "tRNA". From Rfam's summary of the family: Transfer RNA (tRNA) molecules are approximately 80 nucleotides in length. Their secondary structure includes four short double-helical elements and three loops (D, anti-codon, and T loops).